AAAAUACUCCCUCCGUCCCAAAAUUCUUGUCUUAGAUUCCUCUAGACACGGAUGUAUCUAAUACUAAAACGUGACUUGAUAAAUCUAUAUUUAGACAAAUCUAAGACAAGAAUUUUGGGACAGAGGGAGUAUGUG
This is a non-coding RNA of Triticum aestivum (bread wheat), 135 nucleotides long. Lineage: Eukaryota; Viridiplantae; Streptophyta; Magnoliopsida; Poales; Poaceae. The record is from Rfam.